UACGUAGGUGGCAAGCGUUGCCCGGAUUUACUGGGUGUAAAGGGUGCGCAGGCGGAUAGACAAGUCAGGUGUGAAAUUUAUGGGCUUAACCCAUAAACUGCACUUGAAACUGUUUAUCUUGAGUACAGGAGAGGUAAGCGGAAUUCCCGGUGUAGCAGUGAAAUGCGUAGAGAUCGGGAGGAACACCAGUGGCGAAGGCGGCUUACUGGUCUGUAACUGACGCUGAGGCACGAAAGUGUGGGGAGGAAACAGG
This 253-nucleotide ribosomal RNA is filed under the name uncultured bacterium. Its description in RNAcentral is "partial 16S ribosomal RNA". It matches the Rfam family "Bacterial small subunit ribosomal RNA", at positions 524 to 776 of the family's 1533-position model. The record is from RNAcentral.